RNAcentral lists this long non-coding RNA (1106 nucleotides) under Homo sapiens (human). Its description in RNAcentral is "long intergenic non-protein coding RNA 240". The record is from RNAcentral. Lineage: Eukaryota; Metazoa; Chordata; Mammalia; Primates; Hominidae.
GCGCGCGGUACUUAUAUGGCAGUAUGUGUGCGAGUGAUGCCGAGGUUGUGAGUUCGAGCCUCACCUGGAGCAUUGUUUUCCAACCCAAAAUAGCAUUACUUGAAGUGCCUUUCCCCCUGUAAUCCGACUCCAUCGUCUUUAACGUGUUUGGAAUUGUGUACACAGUUUAUUGUUAUUGGUUUCCUUAGCCUUUUUAGAACCAAGCAACGCCAAUUACCAACAAAAUCCGUUGCGCCGCAGUGAGUUAGCUACCUUCUAUCUCCACUUUGUUCUGCACGUCGAUCUCAGGAGAAGCCAGCUCCCAUGUUAAGAAGUUCAAAUACCUAGAGACUGCGAUGGUUUGCAGAGGCUCAAGCUAACCACAUGGAAAGACAUGGAGAGAUAUUCCUUGCCAACCCUCAACUACUCCAACUAUUCUAAGACAUCAAACCUAAAGGAGAUGGAUCAAUAAUUGUACAAGCAUGAAGACAAAUGCCAUAUCACAGCAAUGGUGAAAAGAAAGCCUAGAAGAAAUUUGUCUUCCCAACUUUUUUGGAACCCCUGAAUCAGAUUGACUGCCUCGAAAUAGACUUCUUUUUAAACACACAAAAAAAGUAAUCUCAUUUUUAACAGCCAUAAGAAUAUACCUUGUGGACCAUAAAUACUGUAAAAUUAUUUGACCAGGGCCCCUAGCUGUUCUAUUCCCAAGUGCUUUGUUGUGUUUUUGCUGUGGCUCAGUAUCCCAUGAACUGUUUCCAGCUAAUAACUGAGUGCAUAAGGGAUACUAAGACAGACAAAGUUUCUGGGAGACUAAGGACUCCUCCGACAGCUGAAUUUAGUGUCAGGCCUUCCUUGCUUAACUCAACUUACACUGCAAGGUGGCCUAGGUUGCUUCCAUCCAAACUUCUUCCCUCUAUCCUUGCACUGUGGUCUGAUGAUUCUCUCAGCUGACAUUUUCUCUGACAGGUAUUUCCCCUAAUAACACUUAAUUUUGUCUUGAUGUCUGGUUCUGGGAGGACCCAGCUUAGCACACUAUUUUUAUAAGACACUGCUAAUUUAUGCAGGACAAACUUUUUGCUGGGCAAAGACAAAAAAAUCACCAAAUAAUAUACUGUCAUGUUCACGAC